Molecule: ribosomal RNA, 2800 nt
Filed under: Phytophthora infestans T30-4
Lineage: Eukaryota; Oomycota; Peronosporomycetes; Peronosporales; Peronosporaceae
Description: 28s_rRNA
Rfam family: Eukaryotic large subunit ribosomal RNA (bases 1741-2800)
Source: RNAcentral
ACUCGGAACACGAGAAAGCGUAUCGUUUCGGAAGAGAUCAAGAGCGGUCGUGUGCUAGUGAGCCGCGAUGCGCAGUUCAUGGAAGACGUCUUCGACGAAGGGAGACGCAGCCACGUUGAAGAUGACAUCGUGGAGCUUCAAGAAGAAGAAGUGACGGAUCAAGAAGCAUCGUCCGAGGAUGAGACGAUGGGAGACACUGCGCCGCGUCAAGAAUUUGAGCCCGGUAGCAAGCGACACCAGCGAACGCAGUCGUUGGAGGAAGCGGUAGAGAUCCCGCGGAGCAAGCGACAGAGUCGGCCGCAGACGCUGGAGGAGAUGUCAGCGGUCGCAAGUGGUCGAGAUGAAGAUUUCGAAGCGGCCUACGUUGUGAAUUCAGUGGGAGAAAUGCCGACUACGUUCAAGUCGGCGAUGGAAUCCAGCAACGCGGCCAAGUGGAAGGAAGCGUGCAACUCAGAAGUCGACUCUCUUCGCAAGAACGAGACAUGGUCGUUGGUGCCAUUGCCACAAGGUCGAAAGGCAAUCGGUUGUCGUUGGGUGUUUCGCAUCAAGGAGAACCAAGCGGGAGAGAUCGAGCGGUUCAAGGCACGACUCGUGGCCAAGGGAUUUUCGCAGAAGUACGGCAUUGACUACGAAGAAACCUUCGCGCCAGUCGCCAAGUUCACUUCGAUCAGGAUCCUGCUCAGUUUGGCGGCCAAGUACAAUCUGACUAUGCACCAGAUGGAUGUCAAGACGGCGUUCCUAAACGGGCUGCUUGACGAAGAUAUCUACAUGGUGCAACCGGAUGGUUACACGGAUGAAGAACAUCCUGACCAUGUCUGCCAUCUCAAGCGCUCGCUCUACGGUCUUAAGCAGUCGCCACGAAUGUGGAACCAGACCAUUGACAAGUUCAUGCUGGAGCUGGGGUUCAAGAAGUGUGAAGCCGAUCACUGUAUCUACGUCAAGUGGGAUGACCAAGACAUGAUCUUCGUGGCUCUCUACGUCGAUGAUCUGGUCCUCGCCAGUAACAACGACGAGCUACUCAAGUCGACGAAGAAGGCCUUAAGUGAACGCUUCGACAUGACGGACUUGGGUUGCCUCAAGUACUUUCUCGGUAUGGAGAUCGAUCAAGAUGCGACUUCAGGAAAAGUGUCGGUGCGUCAGACCAAGUUUGCGAAGGACAUCCUGGAGAAGUUUGGCAUGGAGAACAGCAAACCUGUCAAGACCCCUCAAGACCCAGGACUCAAGUUGACCAAGGCCAUGUGCGAAUUAGCAGUGUUGCGCUGAAUGAGCAAUGUGUGCAUGUGUGUGCACAAGGGCAAUGUGGCAAAGGGGCAAAAGAGCAAAGACGCCGCGAAGCACGGCUCGCUCACGACCGACACGGAGAGGUAUCGGAUGUGAAACGAUUGCAAGGAAUUUGCCCCCAGGCAGGACUGAACUACCGACCUUCCGCUUACUAAGCGGGUGCUCUACCACUGAGCUAUAGGGGCUCUUACGAAAGAGCAAGCCGACCGCAUUUUCUUCACCUCGAUAAUACGAAUUACACACACCAACAAUCACACAGCACACCCUACAUCACCUUCUCACAUCCUCACACGGUCCUCUUCCCGUCCAUACCUUCCAAUUCACACCUCGUCGCGAUCAUGGCCUCCGACCGACCGUGCCGCUCGACAGCAAGCUCGUCAAUCCGGGAUGGCAUUAGCACCUGGAGAAACUCACGAGUCAGACCAAUCCGACACCACAAAGCGGCGACGUAUGUCUUCGUGGAAAGCUACGAGGGCAACUGAGUUGGAAAUGUGUUUGACUCAGCGGGGAACAGUGCGGCAAAUGGUGAGCGUCACCAACAGUAUCCUGCGCCGAAUGAGUCGGGCUGCUCUUGUUGUGCCGGAGAGAAAGGUAGUUGGCUUUCGGGCUGGCUGCUGUUUCCUUAGUGCGUUGAACAACCGGCUCAGAACUGGAGCGGACAAGGGGAAUCCGACUGUUUAAUUAAAACAAAGCAUUGUGAUGGCCGGAGACGGUGUUGACACAAUGUGAUUUCUGCCCAGUGCUCUGAAUGUCAAAGUGAAGAGAUUCAACCAAGCGCGGGUAAACGGCGGGAGUAACUAUGACUCUCUUAAGGUAGCCAAAUGCCUCGUCAUCUAACUAGUGACGCGCAUGAAUGGGAUUAAUGAGAUUCCCACUGUCCCUAUCUACUGUCUAGCGAACCCACAGCCAAGGGAACGGGCUUGGAAUAAUCAGCGGGGAAAGAAGACCCCUGUUGAGCUUGACUCUAGUCUGACGUUGUGAAAUGACUUGGGAGGUGUAGAAUAAGUGGGAGGCUCUGCCGUCUGUGAAAUACCACUACUCUCAAUGUUGUUUUACUUAUACCAUGAUGUAGCAUCUGUGUGGCCUCGCGGUCGCUCAGUUCUAGUUGUAAACUUGGGCUUUUGCCUGGGUGAGCUACGUGGAAGACAUCGUCAGGUGGGGAGUUUGGCUGGGGCGGCACAUCUGUUAAAUGAUAACACAGGUGUCCUAAGGUGAGCUCAAUGAGAACAGAAAUCUCAUGUAGAACAAAAGGGUAAAAGCUCACUUGAUUUUGAUUUUCAGUAUGAAUACAAACCGUGAAAGCGUGGCCUAUCGAUCCUUUAGUUCUUUUGAAUUUUAAGCUAGAGGUGUCAGAAAAGUUACCACAGGGAUAACUGGCUUGUGGCAGCCAAGCGUCCAUAGCGACGUUGCUUUUUGAUUCUUCGAUGUCGGCUCUUCCUAUCAUUGCGAAGUAGAACUCGCCAAUUGUUGGAUUGUUCACCCACUAAUAGGGAACGUGAGCUGGGUUUAGACCGUCGUG